Non-coding RNA from Gossypium hirsutum (cotton), 145 nucleotides. Lineage: Eukaryota; Viridiplantae; Streptophyta; Magnoliopsida; Malvales; Malvaceae. The record is from Rfam.
UGUUAAAAGUUUCAUCCAUUUAUACUGUUAAAAAUUGGCGUGUAUGAUAGAAUAACCAGACAAUAACUUGUGGCAUGCUAUGUAUUCCUUAUAUUAACGUACAAUGACCAGUUUUUAACAAUAGAAAUGGAUAAAAUUUUUAACA